AUAAUGUGUGUUUUAUUUACAGGGCAUGAAGAGCCUGUUAACCCAAAGGUUUUUGAGAUUGUAGGAAAAACCUUGGGGUUGAUUUUCCUUUUCAGCCUGAUCGUAUUCUUUGCAUGGAGGAGGAGAACAUCUAGACUCCCCAGUGGGUUUGACAUGACAGAUCGUUCACAGGGACUGGUGGGAAUGAACUCCCCGGUUGGGACAGUGUGCUCUAACCAGGCUAUGGUCGGUAGAGGGAACCAGUAACCACCAUUUAACAACCUCGAUGGUCUUUAAGCACAAGUCAAUCAAAGAGGUGCAUGUUAAUUAUUUUUCCAAUGGGUAUUAAGUGUUUUUAUGUACAAUAUUGUCAUUGUGUAUUAGUUUCUAAUGGUACUUUUGUUACAUUUAUAAUUGUGUGCUCUUUGAUUUAUCUGCAUAUUUGUAGAAUUUUUUUAUCUCAUUAAAAUGGUUUAAAUUGAGAUUUUGUGUCUGUUCUACACUGUCACGACCUGGUCUUAGUAUUUUGUGUUUAUAUAUUUUUUUGGUCAGGCCAGGGUGUGACAUGGGUUUAUUUUGUGUUGUGUUUUUUUAUUGGGGUUUUAGUAGGUAUUGGGAUUGUGGCUAAGUAGGGUUGUCUAGUAAAGUCUAUGGCUGCCUGAGGCGGUUCUCAAUCAGAGUCAGGUGAUUAUCGUUGUCUCUGAUUGGGAACCAUAUUUAGGUAGCCCGGGUUUCACUGUGUAUUGGUGGGUGAUUGUUCCUGUCUCUGUGUUAGUUUGCACCAGAUAGGCUCAGUCACUUUGGAUUUUCUUUUUUCAUUGUUUUGGAAGAGAAGAGAACGA
Molecule: long non-coding RNA, 821 nt
Filed under: Oncorhynchus kisutch (coho salmon)
Lineage: Eukaryota; Metazoa; Chordata; Actinopteri; Salmoniformes; Salmonidae
Description: lncRNA (ENSOKIG00005024685.1)
Source: RNAcentral